UGUGGUUUAAUUCGAUGCAACGCGAGAACCUUACCUGGUCUUGACAUCCCGGAGACCCUUAGGAAACUAGGGGUGCUUCCAUCUGGAGAAUCUGGAGACAGGUGCUGCAUGGCUGUCGUCAGCUCGUGUCGUGAGAUGUUGGGUUAAGUCCCGCAACGAGCGCAACCCUUGCCUUUAGUUGCCAGCAGUUCGGCUGGGCACUCUAAAGGGACUGCCGGUGUUAAACCGGAGGAAGGUGGGGAUGACGUCAAGUCCUCAUGGCCUUUAUGACCAGGGCUACACACGUACUACAAUGGCCGAUACAAAGGGCAGCGACACUGCGAGGUGAAGCCAAUCCCGUAAAAUCGGUCUCAGUCCGGAUUGGAGUCUGCAACUCGACUCCAUGAAGUUGGAAUCGCUAGUAAUCGUGGAUCAGCAUGCCACGGUGAAUACGUUCCCGGGCCUU
RNAcentral lists this ribosomal RNA (445 nucleotides) under uncultured Desulfobulbus sp. RNAcentral describes it as "bacterial SSU rRNA". It matches the Rfam family "Bacterial small subunit ribosomal RNA", at positions 940 to 1382 of the family's 1533-position model. Lineage: Bacteria; Pseudomonadati; Thermodesulfobacteriota; Desulfobulbia; Desulfobulbales; Desulfobulbaceae. The record is from RNAcentral.